Molecule: ribosomal RNA, 253 nt
Filed under: uncultured bacterium
Lineage: Bacteria
Description: partial 16S ribosomal RNA
Rfam family: Bacterial small subunit ribosomal RNA
Source: RNAcentral
UACGAAGGGUGCAAGCGUUAAUCGGAAUUACUGGGCGUAAAGGGUGCGUAGGCGGUUCGUUAAGUCUGUUGUGAAAUCCCCGGGCUCAACCUGGGAAUGGCAAUGGAUACUGGCGGGCUAGAGUGUGUCAGAGGAUGGUGGAAUUCCCGGUGUAGCGGUGAAGUGCGUAGAUAUCGGGAGGAACACCAGUGGCGAAGGCGGGCAUCUGGGCCAACACUGACGCUGAGGCGCGAAAGCUAGGGGAGCAAACAGG